GAGUUUGAUCUUGGCUCAGAGCGAACGCUGGCGGCAGGCUUAACACAUGCAAGUCGAGCGGGCGUAGCAAUACGUCAGCGGCAGACGGGUGAGUAACACGUGGGAACGUACCUUUUGGUUCGGAACAACUGAGGGAAACGUUCAGCUAAUACCGGAUAAGCCCUAACGGGAAAGGAUUAUCGCCGAAGAUCGGCCCGCGUCUGAUUAGCUAGUUGGUGAGGUAAUGGCUCACCAAGGCGACGAUCAGUAGCUGGUCUGAGAGGAUGAUCAGCCACACUGGGACUGAGACACGGCCCAGACUCCUACGGGAGGCAGCAGUGGGGAAGUAUUGGACGAAUGGGGGCGAACCCUCGAUCCAGCCAUGCCGCGUGAGUGAUG
RNAcentral lists this ribosomal RNA (378 nucleotides) under uncultured microorganism. RNAcentral's name for it is "bacterial SSU rRNA". It matches the Rfam family "Bacterial small subunit ribosomal RNA", at positions 9 to 410 of the family's 1533-position model. The record is from RNAcentral.